This is a long non-coding RNA of Ictalurus punctatus (channel catfish), 421 nucleotides long. The record is from Ensembl. Lineage: Eukaryota; Metazoa; Chordata; Actinopteri; Siluriformes; Ictaluridae.
GUCUCGAGGGACGCACGCGUCCAAGUUCAAAAGGGUCACGCUGAGAAAAAGCUCUCGCUCGGCGGGCAGCACGGAGGAAAUCAGCUUUCUGUGCAUCCACGGCCUCGGAGCACAAAGCAGACUCAUUUCUUAAUAGAGGCAGAGAAACACUCUUCUAUCAGACACACGGAAAGUAAAAGCGAGAAAACCCAGGGGAUAGAGGAACGGGUUUAACUCUUAUUAGUGAAGAAAAGAGCUUCAGAGCGCUCAAGAUCAGAGGAAAUGAGGAGCGGAAAUAAUAAAACGUCGAUUAACGUUCAUAUCAGAUUUCCCUGAAAAAAAAGAGCGCUCUUCAAGGGGUCUUUGGAUAGUCGAAAGCUCUCUUGCUCCCGAAAGAGCUUGUCAUGUUGCAGAGAAACCGCCAAAAAAAACAAAGGUAAAC